Molecule: unclassified non-coding RNA, 1409 nt
Filed under: Hevea brasiliensis (rubber tree)
Lineage: Eukaryota; Viridiplantae; Streptophyta; Magnoliopsida; Malpighiales; Euphorbiaceae
Source: RNAcentral
GAAAAUGGCUGCUGCCUCCUUGAAUGGGAAUUCCAAACAGGUUGAAAAGACAGAAGCCCCAAAGAGACCUACUGAGAUACCUGAUGCUGUUAAGCAUCGAGGUUUUAUUGCUUACGAACGUGAGGGAGUGAAGUACAGGGAUCCUAAUGUUAGAAUGGGAGAUUGGAAGGAGGUUAUGGAAGAAUCAAAACCUGGGCCGCUCUUAAAGACUCAGUCAGCUCGAUGCAUGGAUUGUGGUACCCCAUUUUGCCAUCAGGAGAACUCUGGCUGCCCUCUUGGCAAUAAAAUUCCUGAAUUCAAUGAGUUAGUUUAUCAGAAUAGGUGGCGUGAGGCCCUGGAGCGGCUUCUUGAAACAAACAACUUCCCAGAGUUUACUGGGCGUGUCUGCCCAGCCCCAUGCGAAGGAUCUUGUGUUCUGGGCAUUAUUGAGAAUCCUGUGUCCAUCAAAAACAUUGAAUGUGCCAUCAUAGACAAGGCCUUUGAAGAGGGGUGGAUGACUCCAAGGCCUCCUCCUGUGAGAUCCGGGAAAAGAGUAGCUAUUGUUGGGAGUGGACCAGCUGGCUUGGCUGCAGCCGACCAGCUAAAUAAAAUGGGACACAGGGUAACUGUGUAUGAACGAGCUGACAGAAUUGGAGGACUUAUGAUGUAUGGAGUUCCUAAUAUGAAGACUGACAAAGUGGAUGUAGUUCAGCGGCGUGUUAAACUUAUGGCAGAGGAAGGGGUAAAUUUUGUUGUUAAUGCUAAUGUUGGGACUGAUCCCUCAUACUCUCUCGAUCAACUUCGUGCGGAAAAUGAUGCACUCGUUUUGGCUGUUGGUGCCACAAAACCAAGGGAUCUUCCUGUACCUGGACGAGAACUAGCUGGAGUCCAUUUUGCCAUGGAAUUUCUUCAUUCAAACACAAAGAGCUUGCUUGAUAGCAAUCUCCAAGAUGGUAAAUACAUUUCUGCAAAGGACAAGAACGUAGUUGUCAUUGGUGGUGGUGACACUGGAACAGAUUGCAUAGGAACCUCUAUAAGGCAUGGUUGCAGUAGUAUUGUAAACCUAGAGCUUCUUCCUCAGCCGCCACAGACCAGGGCUCCAGGAAACCCUUGGCCACAGUGGCCUAGAAUAUUCCGAGUUGAUUAUGGACACCAGGAAGCAGCUGCGAAAUUCGGAAAAGAUCCAAGAACCUACGAGGUUUUGACCAAGCGGUUUAUUGGAGAUGAGAAUGGGGUAGUGAAAGGACUCGAAGUAAUUCGUGUUCAGUGGGAGAAAGAUGCCAAUGGAAGGUUCCAGUUUAAGGAGGUGGAAGGUAGCGAGGAAAUAUUAGAGGCGGAUCUUGUUUUACUGGCGAUGGGGUUCCUGGGGCCUGAAUCGACGAUAGCAGAGAAGCUGGGCGUUGAGAAAGAUGAUAGGUCUAACUUCAAGG